ACGGGUGCUUAACACGUGGGCAACCUGCCGAGAAGUGGGGGAUAGCUCGCCGAAAGGCGAAUUAAUACCGCAUGUGAUUAGAAUGGACAUCCAUUCAAAAUUAAAGUCGGGGCAACCUGACGCUUCUUGUGGGGCCCGCGGCCUAUCAGCUAGUUGGUGAGGUAACGGCCCACCAAGGCUUUGACGGGUAGCUGGUCUGAGAGGACGACCAGCCACACUGGGACUGAGACACGGCCCAGACACCUACGGGUGGCAGCAGUCGAGAAUUUUUCUCAAUGGGGGAAACCCUGAAGGAGCGACGCCGCGUGGAGGAUGAAGGUCUUCGGAUUGUAAACUCCUGUCAUUUGGGAACAAUGCGUGCGUAUUAACUGUACGUGCGUUGAUAGUACCAGAAGAGGAAGAGACGGCUAACUCUGUGCCAGCAGCCGCGGUAAUACAGAGGUCUCAAGCGUUGUUCGGAUUCAUUGGGCGUAAAGGGUGCGUAGGCGGCGCGGUAAGUCGGGUGUGAAAUCUCGGGGCUUAACUCCGAAACUGCAUUCGAUACUGCCGUGCUUGAGGACUGGAGAGGAGACUGGAA
RNAcentral lists this ribosomal RNA (577 nucleotides) under uncultured bacterium. Its description in RNAcentral is "bacterial SSU rRNA". It matches the Rfam family "Bacterial small subunit ribosomal RNA", at positions 102 to 666 of the family's 1533-position model. The record is from RNAcentral.